AGUGAACGCUGGCGGCGUGCCUAACACAUGCAAGUCGAACGAUGAAGAGCAGCUUGCUGCUCGGAUUAGUGGCGCACGGGUGAGUAAUGCAUAGGUAAUGUGCCCCUUAGUCUGGGAUAGCCACUGGAAACGGUGAUUAAUACUAGAUACUCCUUCUUGUCCUAAGGCAAGUCGGGAAAGUUUUUCGCUAAGGGAUCAGCCUAUGUCCUAUCAGCUUGUUGGUGAGGUAACGGCUCACCAAGGCUAUGACGGGUAUCUGGUUUGAGAGGAUGAUCAGACACACUGGAACUGAGACACGGUCCAGACUCCUACGGGAGGCAGCAGUGAGGAAUAUUGCACAAUGGAGGAAACUCUGAUGCAGCAACGCCGCGUGGAGGAUGACGCAUUUCGGUGUGUAAACUCCUUUUAAGAGGGAAGAUUAUGACGGUACCUCUUGAAUAAGCACCGGCUAACUCCGUGCCAGCCGCCGCAGUAA
RNAcentral lists this ribosomal RNA (475 nucleotides) under uncultured bacterium. RNAcentral's name for it is "partial 16S ribosomal RNA". It matches the Rfam family "Bacterial small subunit ribosomal RNA", at positions 29 to 523 of the family's 1533-position model. The record is from RNAcentral.